RNAcentral lists this ribosomal RNA (254 nucleotides) under uncultured bacterium. RNAcentral's name for it is "partial 16S ribosomal RNA". It matches the Rfam family "Bacterial small subunit ribosomal RNA", at positions 524 to 776 of the family's 1533-position model. The record is from RNAcentral.
UACGGGGGGAGCAAGCGUUGUUCGGAUUUACUGGGCGUAAAGGGCGCGUAGGCGGUCGUGACAAGUCACUUGUGAAAUCUCCGGGCUUAACUCGGAACGGUCAAGUGAUACUGUCGGACUAGAGUACAGAAGGGGCAACUGGAAUUCUCGGUGUAGCGGUGAAAUGCGUAGAUAUCAGGAGGAACACCCAUGGCGAAGGCAGCAAACUGGGCAUCAACUGACGCUGAGGCGCGAAAGCGUGGGUAGCAAACAGG